RNAcentral lists this long non-coding RNA (427 nucleotides) under Rattus norvegicus (Norway rat). Its description in RNAcentral is "long non-coding RNA NONRATT024240". The record is from RNAcentral. Lineage: Eukaryota; Metazoa; Chordata; Mammalia; Rodentia; Muridae.
CUGCGAAGCUACACUCCUCCAGCAGCUGGUGCGAAGCAUCGCUCCAGUUGAAAUCGUAAGGCUCUGCUUUGCUAGCUUAAAUGUCCAGUAAGAUCAGACCACCGCAUGCUGAGUCCCUAAGGACAAGUCCUCCUUACUACUCGUUUUUAUGGCUUCAGGAAAAUCUUAGGAACAAAACUGGAAAUGAGUUAGCUGGCAGUAUUUCUCUCCGUAGGAAAGUAGCUGGUUAUAAAGGGAACAGGCUUGUGAAUCCCUCUGUGAAUGCUGUGCUGUUUGGAUGCCUGUCUGCUGAAGGGCAGGGACACACAGGCAUGCAUUGGUGGCUGGAAGAAUUACCAGUGGGAAUUUUCAGAGCAGACGGAUGCACAGAUUGGUCAUCUAGUCUACCAAGGUUGGGACAAUGGGUCACAGCUGGACGAGCCAACAG